UACGGAGGGUGCGAGCGUUGUCCGGAAUCACUGGGCGUAAAGGGCGCGUAGGCGGCCUGGUAAGUAGGGGGUGAAAUCCUGCGGCUUAACCGCAGGGCUGCCUUCUAAACUGUCAGGCUAGAGCACGGUAGAGGCAGAUGGAAUUCCCGGUGUAGCGGUGGAAUGCGUAGAGAUCGGGAAGAACAUCAGUGGCGAAGGCGGUCUGCUGGGCCGUUGCUGACGCUGAGGCGCGACAGCGUGGGGAGCAAACAGG
Molecule: ribosomal RNA, 253 nt
Filed under: uncultured bacterium
Lineage: Bacteria
Description: partial 16S ribosomal RNA
Rfam family: Bacterial small subunit ribosomal RNA
Source: RNAcentral